Molecule: ribosomal RNA, 187 nt
Filed under: uncultured eukaryote
Lineage: Eukaryota
Description: partial 18S ribosomal RNA
Rfam family: Eukaryotic small subunit ribosomal RNA
Source: RNAcentral
CCGCACACGCGCUACACUGAAUCGGUCAGCUAGUUCUUCCCUUCCGAGAGGAACGGGUAAACUGUUGAACUCGAUUCGUGGUAGGGAUCGGGGCUUGCAAUUAUUCCCCGUGAACCAGGAAUUCCCAGUAGGCGCGAGUCAUAAGCUCGCGUCGAUUACGUCCCUGCCCUUUGUACACACCGCCCGU